RNAcentral lists this ribosomal RNA (464 nucleotides) under uncultured bacterium. Its description in RNAcentral is "partial 16S ribosomal RNA". It matches the Rfam family "Bacterial small subunit ribosomal RNA", at positions 28 to 507 of the family's 1533-position model. The record is from RNAcentral.
GAUGAACGCUGGCGGCGUGCUUAACACAUGCAAGUCGAACGGAAAGGCCCAAGCUUGCUUGGGUACUCGAGUGGCGAACGGGUGAGUAACACGUGGGUGAUCUGCCCUGCACUUCGGGAUAAGCCUGGGAAACUGGGUCUAAUACCGGAUAGGACCACAUUUUGGAUGGUGUGGUGGAAAGUUUUUCGGUGUGGGAUGAGCUCGCGGCCUAUCAGCUUGUUGGUGGGGUAAUGGCCUACCAAGGCGUGGACGGGUAGCCGGCCUGGGAGGGUGUACGGCCCAAUGGGGCUGAGGGAGGGGCCCGAGCCCCCAGGGGGGGAAGGGGGGGGAAAAUUUUCCAACGGGGCCGAAGCAGGGAGGAGGGCCCCCGGGGGGGGGAGGCCGGCUUUCGGGUUGUAAACCCUUUUGGCUAGGAACGAGGGCAAAGGACGGUAACUGGAGAAAAAGGCCCCGGUAAAUACGUG